AAUAGAAUGCCUGAUAAAAGGAUUAUCUUGAUAGGAUAAAUAAUACAAUUAACCUUGUUUCUAUUA
RNAcentral lists this transfer RNA (66 nucleotides) under Ips acuminatus. RNAcentral's name for it is "tRNA-Ile". Lineage: Eukaryota; Metazoa; Arthropoda; Insecta; Coleoptera; Curculionidae. The record is from RNAcentral.